This 323-nucleotide ribosomal RNA is filed under the name uncultured Chloroflexota bacterium. Its description in RNAcentral is "bacterial SSU rRNA". It matches the Rfam family "Bacterial small subunit ribosomal RNA", at positions 28 to 351 of the family's 1533-position model. The record is from RNAcentral. Lineage: Bacteria; Bacillati; Chloroflexota.
GACAAACGCUGGCGGCGUGCAUAAAACAUGCAAGUCGGACGAGCCAAUCCCCGCAAGGGGAAAGGCUAGUGGCGAACGGCUGAGUAACACGUAGGUGACCUGCCCUGAAGUGGGGGAUAACGACUCGAAAGAGUCGCUAAUACCGCAUGUGACCACCGAUCCGUUUUCGGUGCUCAAAGUCGCAAGACGCUUUAGGAGGGGCCUGCGGCGGAUUAGCUAGUUGGUGAGGUAAUGGCCCACCAAGGCUUAGAUCGGUAGCUGGUCUGAGAGGAUGAUCAGCCACACUGGAAUUGAGAUACGGUCCAGACUCCUACGGGUGGCAG